RNAcentral lists this ribosomal RNA (253 nucleotides) under uncultured bacterium. Its description in RNAcentral is "partial 16S ribosomal RNA". It matches the Rfam family "Bacterial small subunit ribosomal RNA", at positions 524 to 776 of the family's 1533-position model. The record is from RNAcentral.
UACGUAGGCAGCAAGCGUUGUUCGGAAUUACUGGGCGUAAAGAGUGUGUAGGCGGUGCUCUAAGUUUGAUGUGAAAUCUCCCGGCUCAACCGGGAGGCUGCAUCGAAUACUGGAAUGCUAGAGGGUGGGAGAGGUAAGCGGAAUUCCUGGUGUAGCGGUGAAAUGCGUAGAUAUCAGGAGGAACACCUGUGGUGUAGACAGCUUACUGGACCACUUCUGACGCUGAGACACGAAAGCGUGGGUAGCAAACAGG